UACACACUUUUACAUUCCUACACACUAUCUCAUAUAUAGACAAAGCACGUGGUUGAAGAUACUUUCAACCACUCUCUUCUUUUAGAUGGCUUAUUUACUUGGAGGGAGAUUAACUCUCUCUUCCCAACUAAAGCUAGCAGUUGUGGCCUCUUUUACACCGAGCAUUCGUCUUGGUGUUGUAUAUUACCAUUAAUACAACUUUGACGUUAAUAUUUCAAUGUGGAUAUGGUUGGAGGCAUUUAUAGAGAGGGUUUAGGCCUUUUAAGUCCUUUGGAUUUUAGGACCUCCAUCCGUCCCCUUCCUUAGCCUCGCCUGGCCUUAUACAAGUCGAUGAAGAUCAGUUGUAAACUAUACUGUGAUGCAAAAUGAGUCGUUUGGCUAUAGAAAACAAACGUUUCUGUUUGGUCUAAGUGACGAUAGAGCAUUCGAAAACAUAGGGAAAUCAAUAAUGUCAGCAAUAUCAUCGGUGUUGCUCCUUCUUGUCCUCUAUCUCCAAUCAGAGGUUCAUUCGUUGGCCACCCCUUCUGAUCAUGAUUUUAGCUACUUGAAAUUCGUACGCAAUGCCACUGAUUUUUCAUUGGAAGAUGAAUAUGACUACAUCAUAGUUGGAGGGGGCACAUCAGGGUGUCCAUUGGCAGCAACUUUAUCAGCAAACUACUCAGUGCUCGUUCUAGAAAGGGGAAAGUCUUCCUACAUCAUAUCCGAACGUCUUGACCCAAGACGGAUUUGCAUAUAAUCUCCAACAAGAAGAUGAUGGAACAACGCCGGUCCAAAGGAUCAUGUCUGAAGAUGGUAUUCCUACUGUAAGAGGCAGGCUCCUCGGUGGCACGAGCAUGAUCAACGCCGGAGUAUACGCCAGAGCUAACAUGUCAUUUUAUAAUCAAUCAGGAAUUGAAUGGGACAUGGAAUUGGUUAAUAAUACUUACGAGUGGGUUGAGGACACUAUUGUAUACAAGCCAAAUUCAUUCCCAUGGCAAUCUGUUAUACGAGAAGCAUUUUUGGAGGCUGGUGGAUACGAUCCGGACAACGGAUUCAGUCUAGAUCACAUAAAAGGAACUAGAGUCACCGGUUCAACUUUUGACAAUUAUGGAACGAGACAUGGAGCUGAUGAACUGCUUAAUAAAGGAAACCCUAACAACUUGCGAGUUGCAGUUCAUGCUACAGUAGAGAAGAUCAUCUUCUCUUCCAAUGAAUCAGGCAUGUUGCAUCUUUGAUAAUUGUAAAGUUUAUUUUAACCCAAAAUUAAACCAUUUGACUAACAUUCCAUGAUAGGAUCGAACCAAGGGGAAAGCUACAAGAGGAAAGGAAAGAAGAAAUAAACUAAUACAUUCUGAUUUUCAUUUCAUAACCUCCCCAAAUGGUAGAAGCUGCUUCAUAUACAACCCUAAAGCAAGAGUGCGUGCGAUUGUAACACAUCAUCACUCAGAGACCGUUGGAUGCAACCAACAUCAUACAAUUCAAAAGACCAUAACACCCUAAGGAUAAGCAUUGUAUUACUAAUAACCCAGAGUCCUAACAACCCUCCCCCCUAAGAAACAGCUUGUCCUCAAGCGUGGAAGUCCGAAAAGCGUUCAAUGAUGGAGUCGGCGUCCUCCCAGGUAGCAUCGUGGUCGGGCAGGCCUACCCAUUUAAUCAGCCAGCGAGUGACGACACGGUUGCCUCGUUUGAACAUGCCGCGCUGCAAUAUAGUUUCUGGAGUCCGUGCGACCAAUCCCGUAUCAGACAGGGGCGGAAGAAUGGUGGAUGGAAUCACAUGAGAGCCCAGCUUGGGUUUAAGGAGUGAGACAUGGAAGGUAGGGUGAAUGCGGGAGUUUGCGGGGAGGUCCAAUGUGUAUGCCACUUUACCGACACGAGCAAGGAUUUUGUAUGGCCCAUAGAAGCGGGGUGCCAAUUUGGGGCAGUUAGUGUGGCUGACAAAGGACUGGCGGUAAGGUUGUAGCCAUAAGAAAACCCAAUCGCCCACCUGGAACUCGCAUUCCGAACGCUUCUUGUUGGUGAAGUGACACAUUCGUUCCUGGGCAAGAUGUAGAUUCUCACGCAGCUGGCGGAGUAAGGCAUCCCGAUCACGGAGAGUAGUGUCAACCAGGUGAACUGGAGAGGAACCCGGUAGGUACGAUGGAACCCGAGGUGGGGGAUAACCAUAGACAGCUUCGAAAUGGGACAUCUUGAUGGCCGAAUGGAAGGUGGAGUUAUACCACCAUUCAGCCAUGGCAGCCAGUCAACCCAGGAUGUUGGUUUGUCACCCACAAAACUGCGAAGAUAAUGUUCGAGGGUGCGGUUUAAUACCUCAGUUUGCCCAUUGGAUUGAGGGUGGUAAGCCGAGCUGCGGCAGAGUUUAAAACCUUGCAUUUUGAAGAACGAGUCCCAAAACUGGCUGAUAAACACAGGAUCCUGAUCACUGACCACAGUAGCAGGCAUGCCGUGAAGACGAAAAAUCUCCCGGACGAAGAUGUCAGCAACUUUGGCAGCAGAAUAUGGGUGUUUAAUGGGUAUGAAAUGGCCAUACUUGGAGAGACGAUCGACCACAACCAAUAUGGCGUUACGACCAUGAGUGGAAGGAAGACCCUCUAUGAAGUCCAUUGUAAUGUCUGUCCAGAGUUGAGUGGGGAUUGGAAGUGGUUGUAACAAGCCUGCGGGUUUUAGAGUCUCAUAGUUGAUGCGCUGACAAGUGUCACAGGCAGCCACAUAAGUCUUGACUGCCUUCUUUAAGCCGGGCCAAUUGAAAUUGCGAAGAACCCGUUUAUAUGUACGAAGGUACCCGGAGUGGCCUGCAGUAGGAGAAGAGUGGAAUUCUGCCAAAAUUUGAUGACGCCAAGGAAACGACGAGGCCACGAAGAUACCCUCCUUAUAAUAUAAGAGAUCUCCUCGAAGAGAGAAGUGAACACGGGUAGGCUGAUGAUGUUGUAAGGCUUGGAGAAUCUGUGCAGCCUCAGGGUUCGUGUUGUACUCGGCUUGGAUCUCAGAGAUGGAGUCAAAAAUCGGCUGGGAGAGACCCAUGAGUGCCAACCCUUCAUGUUGCCUAGAUAAGGCAUCCGCUGCUGUAUUUGCUGCCCCCGGCCGAUACUCCAGCGUAUAAUUGUAGCCUAACAACUUUAAAAGCCAUUUCUGUUGAGUAGGGGUGGUGAUGCGUUGGUUGAGGAAGUGUUUCAACGUUUGGUGGUCUGUAAUAAUCUUGAAGGAUGUCCCAAGCAGGUAGGGACGCCAUUUCUAGACAGCGAACACAAUGGCGAGCAUUUCUUUAUCAUAAACGGACAGAGCCUUAUGUUUGUCGGAUAGUGACAUAUUGAGGAAGGCGAUAGGGUGCUGGUCCUGUGAGAGCACAGCGCCAAUGCCGGCGUCAGAAUCAUCGCACUCCACGAUAAAGGGGCGGGAUAAAUCUGGCAGAGCUAAGACAGGGGUGGAGGACAGAGCUUGCUUGAGAUCCACAAAAGCCUGAGCAGCCGCUGGAGUCCACACGAAAUUAUCCUUUUUCAGGAGAUCCGUGAGAGGGCGAGCGAGAUGGCCGAAUGACGUAUAAAUUUCCGAUAAUAACCGGCAAGGCCCAAGAACCCACGCAAGGCUUUGAGAGUACGGGGUUAAGGCCACUCCAUGAUGCAGUGCACCUUUUGAGAAUCCACAGCGACACUGGCGGCCUAGAUUAUGUGAGCAAGGUAGGCCAUCGUAGGUUGGCCAAAUGAGCAUUUAGAUUGCUUCACUUUCAGAGCAUGUGAUCUCAGAACAUCAAAGACAGAGGUUAAAUGUGAGAGAUGAGUAGGUAAGUCUGGGCUAAAGAUGAUGAUAUCAUCGAAAAAAACCAAGACAAACUUACGUAAAAAAAGCUUAAAGAUAGAGUUCAUGAGGGCUUGGAACGUGGAAGGCGCAUUACACAGGCCAAAAGGCAUGACCACAAAUUCAAAAUGCCCAUCAUGGGUGUGAAAAGCUGUCUUCGGAAUGUCCGGUUCAUACAUACGAAUUUGGUGAAAGCCCGAGCGAAGAUCUAAUUUAGAAAAGACCUUAACACCCCUGAGUUCGUCAAGAAGCUCAUCGAUGAUCGGAACCAAAAAAGGAAAUUUGACAGUUACUUGAUUGAGGCCCCUGUAAUCCACACAAAAGCGCCAAGUCAAGUCGACUUUGUGAACCAAUAGGGCGGGAGAAUAGAAGGGGCUGGAACUGGGUCGUAUGAGGCCUGCGGCAAGCAUUUCCUCUACCUGUUUUUCCAUUUCUGUUUUUUGAACAUGGGCGUAGCGGUAAGGUCGAACAUUGACUGGUGGAGUACCCGGCAGCAAUGUGAUGCGGUGAUCAAAUUCCUGAUGAAGAGGGAGGUCCGUUGGAGCAGCAAAGAGAUCUGAAUAGUUGUCCAAAAGGGUGGUGAGUGGUGGCGGUAUAGUGUGGACCACCUCGGCUGGGGAAGAAGCACGCAAAAGAGAGGCCAGAAGGGAGUCGAUGUGUGGCCUGGAGGAUGUAGACGGUGAUGGAGAAUCCGAAGAGUGGAGUCCCACCAAGCGAUAAUUAUGGCCUCCAAUUUGAAACUUCAUGACUUUGUGCUUGAAAUGCCAUCCAAUAAGACCCAAUGUUUCUAACCACUCGGCCCCGAGAAUCAAAUCACAGCCUUGUACCGCAAGCAAGCGGAUGUCAGAGGAAAAUGUAUAGUCCUACAGGUUGACUGUAAAGUUAUAAGCGAUGUCGUGGGUAUAACAUAUAUUCCCAUUAGCAACAGCCACGGGUUCCACCAGAGAGCGAUUGGUGCGCAGGCCCAGAUGCCUCGCAAUCGAGGGGCUGAGAAAAUUAAGGUUCGCACCGGAGUCGACAAAGACCCGGAUGGGCAACAUGUCACUGUACCCCACAAGGCGCAUAGCACGUCCUUGGGUACGUUUGGGUGAGACCAGGGCGUUGAAGGCAAUGGGCUCCUCCUCGGCGAGCAAGGGUUCGGCAUGAGCGAGGGGAAUGUCGUCGAGGACCUAGUCGGAGGUAACUUCAGAGACGGCUGCAGCAUCUAACAAUAAUAAGUGGGGGGUCGUAGAAGUGUGGCCAGGAAAAUACUUCUCUGGGCAAUAAAAACACUGGCCCCGAGAAUGGCGCUCACGGACUUCGGCCGGAGAGAGGCGCAGCGGUGGUCGGCCCGGUGAAGAGGGAUGUGGUUUGGGGGAAGAAUGAGCCACCGGCGAGGAAGCUGCCGAGACCGCUGGGGAAGGGCUAUGAGAGAAUGGGCGGAAAGAAGUGUGGCGCCGUUGUUGCUUGUUGUCGUAGAUACGGGCAAGUUCGAUAGCGCGGGCCAAAGAAUGAAGGCCCAGUGCGAGGACAUCAUCUUGUAAGUCCGACUUAAGCCCACUAAGGAAGACCCUCAGGAGCUGUGCAUCAGUCCAUCCUUAGGCGCGGCAAGAUAAACAGAUGAAGUCAUUCACAUAGGCCUCUAAAAAGCCUUUUUGGGCGACAUGAGAGAAGGACAUGUUAAAGUCCAAUUGAUCACCCGGCCCAAAGUGUUGGAUGAUGCAUUCGGUAAAGGUGGCCCAUAAGGUUGACCCCACAUGCAUUUUAUACCACUUGAACCAUAAAACCGCAUCACCCGUGAAAUGGAAGCCCACCACUGUGACCCGGUUGUGGGGUUUGACCCCAUGGAAGUCCAUGUACUCCUCAGCCAACGCUAACCAGCUAUAUGGGUCGUCGCCGGAGAAACGGAAGAGUUCAAUUUUCAUGAAUUUGGAGGGAG
This is a non-coding RNA of Malus domestica (apple), 5686 nucleotides long. The record is from RefSeq and is a predicted model, not a curated record. NCBI's taxonomy places the organism in Eukaryota, Viridiplantae, Streptophyta, Magnoliopsida, Rosales, Rosaceae.